RNAcentral lists this transfer RNA (73 nucleotides) under Candidatus Elusimicrobium euhamitermitis. RNAcentral describes it as "tRNA-Arg". It matches the Rfam family "tRNA". Rfam says of the family: Transfer RNA (tRNA) molecules are approximately 80 nucleotides in length. Their secondary structure includes four short double-helical elements and three loops (D, anti-codon, and T loops). Further hydrogen bonds mediate the characteristic L-shaped molecular structure. tRNAs have two regions of fundamental functional importance: the anti-codon, which is responsible for specific mRNA codon recognition, and the 3' end, to which the tRNAs corresponding amino acid is attached (by aminoacyl-tRNA synthetases). tRNAs cope with the degeneracy of the genetic code in two manners: having more than one tRNA (with a specific anti-codon) for a particular amino acid; and 'wobble' base-pairing, i.e. permitting non-standard base-pairing at the 3rd anti-codon position. The record is from RNAcentral. Lineage: Bacteria; Pseudomonadati; Elusimicrobiota; Elusimicrobia; Elusimicrobiales; Elusimicrobiaceae.
GUCCCGUUAGCUCAACUGGAUAGAGUGCCGGCCUCCGAAGCCGGAAAUAUGGGUUCAAAUCCCGUACGGGGCA